This 495-nucleotide ribosomal RNA is filed under the name uncultured bacterium. RNAcentral's name for it is "partial 16S ribosomal RNA". It matches the Rfam family "Bacterial small subunit ribosomal RNA", at positions 899 to 1397 of the family's 1533-position model. The record is from RNAcentral.
ACUCAAAUGAAUUGACGGGGGCCCGCACAAGCGGUGGAGCAUGUGGUUUAAUUCGAUGCAACGCGAAGAACCUUACCUGGGUUUGACAUCUACUGGAAGACUGCCAGAAAUGGCGUCGCCUUCGGGCCGGUAGACAGGUGCUGCAUGGCUGUCGUCAGCUCGUGUCGUGAGAUGUUGGGUUAAGUCCCGCAACGAGCGCAACCCUUGCCUUUAGUUGCCAGCAUUUAGUUGGGCACUCUAAAGGGACUGCCUACGUUAAGUAGGAGGAAGGUGGGGAUGACGUCAAGUCCUCAUGGCCCUUAUAUCCAGGGCUACACACGUGCUACAAUGGUCGGUACAGAGGGAAGCAAAACCGAGAGGGUGAGCAAAUCCCAAAAAGCCGAUCUAAGUUCGGAUUGAGGUCUGCAACUCGACCUCAUGAAGCUGGAAUCGCUAGUAAUCGUGGAUCAGAACGCCACGGUGAAUACGUUCCCGGGCCUUGUACACACCGCCCGU